UCCCUGGUGGCUCAGACAGUAAAGAAUCUGCCUGCAAUGCAGGAGACCCAGGUUCAAUCCCUGGCUUGUGAA
RNAcentral lists this transfer RNA (72 nucleotides) under Bos taurus (domestic cattle). It matches the Rfam family "tRNA". From Rfam's summary of the family: Transfer RNA (tRNA) molecules are approximately 80 nucleotides in length. Their secondary structure includes four short double-helical elements and three loops (D, anti-codon, and T loops). The record is from Rfam by way of RNAcentral. Lineage: Eukaryota; Metazoa; Chordata; Mammalia; Artiodactyla; Bovidae. RNAcentral also lists the same sequence under 4 other names.